This is a long non-coding RNA of Cornus florida, 2537 nucleotides long. RefSeq lists it as uncharacterized. The transcript has 2 exons. The record is from RefSeq and is a predicted model, not a curated record. Lineage: Eukaryota; Viridiplantae; Streptophyta; Magnoliopsida; Cornales; Cornaceae.
AAAGAAGUGGAGACUAUGAUGUAUUUGGAUUGGCGGGCCCAUUAGGAUUUUAUUUGGGCAACCUUUUUUGUCUUUGAUUUUGUGCACAUGGCUUUGUUGUUAAUUUGAUACAAUGAAUCUAGAGGAGGAUUAUGCUGGCUGCCGAAAAUGAAUGAAGGAAGCAAAAAGAGAAAUGGAAAUGUGUUUUGGUGUGGGACCCACUUUGGAUAUUUAUAUAUAUUUUUCUAUGUAGUGUAUUUGUAUUGUGUGGCCAAAGUUCUUUCUUGGAUUCACUCACGUGGCCUUGUAUUUGGUGGCUGAUUUUUGUUGUCUUUUAAGUGAUACAUUGAAUGAGAAUAAAGGCUAAGAGAUAAGAAAAGGUACAAGUUUGAAUGAACGGUGGGACCCAAUAGAUUUUUGCUCUGUAAUUGAAUUGAUAUUUAUUUUUGUGCCGGUGGAAUUACAUUAUAAAUAGAGUGUUUUGUGUUUUGAGUUUAUAUGAGCAAACGGAGAAGGAAAAUUAGAGUGAGUUUGAGGAAACAGACAGUGCCAAGAUGGGCAGACAGACUUAGAGAAUUGAGGAUGCAAUGAUUUUUGUUUUACAGUUUUCAGGUACCAAGGAUGCUUGAGGAUUUUUAGUUGCUGGUUUAGGUAGAAGAGUUGGUGUUGAGGAUUUUUAUUUAAUUAUUUAGAGAUUUUUGUAUAUUCAUUUUUGAGGAAUUACUUUAAUUUAUUUAGAGAUUUUGUAUAUUUAUUUGAGGAAUUGAUUCUGUAUAUUUUGUAUAUUUAUUUGUAUAUUUUGAUGUAUUUUGAUUUGAAUGAAUCAAGCAAUUUAUUUUGAAAAAAAUUCGGGGCGUGAGAGAAUGAUAUUAGAGCCUGUACCUAGCCGGAAGUGUGAGUUUAGUAAUGAUGUUGUCGGGUGUGUGUGGGCGAGUGUUUAGUAUUGACUAGCUACCACUCGUAGCCGGGUGUGUGUGUCCAGAUGUCGUUCACUGGCAGCUAUUAGGAUGAUUACUAUCAGUGAUUAGAGGUAGGUGUCCCUAGAUCACUAUCGGUUUUAUUUUGUGGGCGGGUAACGGCAUCGUCUAGUUACCACAACGGUUACGGAGUGUGUGAGCGGGUAAUUAGCACUGUCAGCUACCACAAUAUUUUUCAUGUCACUGAAUUUGACAUCGCCUGGGGUAAGGAUUUUUUUUUUUUUUAUGGAUUAUGUUUUACUACUUUUGGUGUUUUCAGGUACGAAGACUGUUCGAUCUGAAUUUUGGGACGAAAUUCUUUUUAAGUGGUGGAGAAUGUGACAACCCGAAUUUUUUUAAGAAUUGAAAUUCAAUUAUUUUAUGAUUUUUAGUUGUUAAAAUUGAUUAUUUUGUUUUAAUUGGAGACUUACUAAUUAGAGAUUGAGUUAUUGAUUUUUAAAUUGGAGACUACAGUUUUUAUUUAAUUUCAUUUCAUGAUUUUAAUUAUCAUGAUGGGAGAAAGCUGUCGAAAAUUGAAGAGGAAAAGAAUUGUAAUGGUUUAUUGGCGGAUCCCAUUAAAUGGUGUUAAUGGGUUGAUUUUGGUUUUGAUACAUUAUAUAUAUAUAUAUAUAUAUAUAUAUCUAAUAUGGUUUGUGAGAUAAAGAGAAGGCAGCACGAAGUGGGAAAGGAAGUGGAAACUAUGAUGUAUUUGGAUUGGCGGGCCCACUUAGAUUUUAUUUGGGCAACGUUUUUUGUCUUUAAUUUUGUGCACAUGGCUUUGUUGUUAAUUUGAUACAAUGAAUCUGGAGGAGGAUUAUGCUGGCUGCCGAAAAUGAAUGAAGGAAGCAAAAAGAGAAAUGGAAAUGUGUUUGGUACGGGACCCACUUUGGAUAUUUAUAUAUAUUUUUCUAUGUAGUGUAUUUGUAUUGUGUGGCCAAAGUUCUUUCUUGGAUUCACUCACGUGGCCUUGUAUUUGGUGGCUGAUUUUUGUUGUCUUUUAAGUGAUACAUUGAAUGAGAAUAAAGACUAAGAGAUAAGAAAAUGUACGAAUUUGAAUGGACGGCGGGACCGAAUAGAUUUUUGUUCUGUAAUUGAAUUGAUAUUUAUUUUGUGCCAGUGGAAUUACAUUAUAAAUAGAGUGUUUUGUGUUUAUAUGAGCAAACGGAGAAGGAAAAUUAGAGUGAGUUUGAGGAAACAGACAGUGCCAAGAUGGGCAGACAGACUUAGAGAAUUGAGGAUGCAGUGAUUUUUGUUUUACAGUGUAGGGUUCUUCAUAUCUUGAAUGGCCUGGAUGAUUUUGAUUCAAAUAUUUUAUUAAUUGUUGUUUUGUUAAAAUUGCAUAUAUAUAUUUUGUUUAAAUAUAUAUGUAUAUUUUUGUGAAGUUAAUUUUGCAUGAAACUCUUUGAAAUCCUUGCUAUGGUUUUUCCUACUGGGACUUCCUCCGUCUCACCCCCUUCCAGUUUCAAGUAUCGAGGAUGCUUGAGGAUUUUUAGUUGCGAGUUUAGGUGGAAGAGUUGGUGUUGAGGAUUUUUAUUUAAUUAUUUAGAGAUUUUUGUAUAUUCAUUUUUGAGGAAUUAUUUUAAUUUAUUCAGAGAUUUUGUA